CAGUCGCCGCGGUAAUACGGAGGGGGCUAGCGUUGUUCGGAAUUACUGGGCGUAAAGCGCACGUAGGCGGCUUGGUAAGUUAGAGGUGAAAGCCUGGAGCUCAACUCCAGAAUUGCCUUUAAGACUGCCGAGCUAGCAGGUGAGAGAGGUAAGUGGAAUUCCGAGUGUAGAGGUGAAAUUCGUAGAUAUUCGGAAGAACACCAGUGGCGAAGGCGGCUUACUGGCUCAUACUGGACGCUGAGGUGCGAAAGCGUGGGGAGCAAACAGGAUUAGAGACCCCUGUAGUCCCUGUCUCUUAUAC
This 301-nucleotide ribosomal RNA is filed under the name uncultured bacterium. RNAcentral describes it as "partial 16S ribosomal RNA". It matches the Rfam family "Bacterial small subunit ribosomal RNA", at positions 509 to 807 of the family's 1533-position model. The record is from RNAcentral.